This 467-nucleotide ribosomal RNA is filed under the name uncultured bacterium. RNAcentral describes it as "partial 16S ribosomal RNA". It matches the Rfam family "Bacterial small subunit ribosomal RNA", at positions 28 to 507 of the family's 1533-position model. The record is from RNAcentral.
GAUGAACGCUGGCGGCGCGCCUAACACAUGCAAGUCGAACGAUUAAAGCACCUUCGGGUGUGUAUAAAGUGGCGAACGGCUGAGUAAAACGUGGGCAACCUGCCCCUCUCAUUGGGAUAGCCACGGGAAACCGUGGAUAAUACCGAAUACUUCGGGACUUCCGCAUGGAAGACUCGAGAAAGCUCCGGCGGAGAGGGAUGGGCCCGCGGCCUGUUAGCUUGUUGGUGGGGUAAUGGCCUACCAAGGCAAUGAUGGGUAGCUGGGUUGAGAGACCGACCAGCCAGAUUGGGACUGAGACACGGCCCAGACUCCUACGGGAGGCAGCAGUGGGGAAUCUUGCACAAUGGGCGAAAGCCUGAUGCAGCGACGCCGCGUGCGGGAUGAAGGCCUUCGGGUUGUAAACCGCUUUCAGCAGGGACGAGGCGAAAGUGACGGUACCUGCAGAAGAAGCCCCGGCUAACUACGUG